RNAcentral lists this ribosomal RNA (497 nucleotides) under uncultured bacterium. RNAcentral describes it as "partial 16S ribosomal RNA". It matches the Rfam family "Bacterial small subunit ribosomal RNA", at positions 28 to 507 of the family's 1533-position model. The record is from RNAcentral.
GACGAACGCUGGCGGCGUGCCUAAUACAUGCAAGUAGAACGCUGAAGAGAGGAGCUUGCUCUUCUUGGAUGAGUUGCGAACGGGUGAGUAACGCGUAGGUAACCUGCCUUGUAGCGGGGGAUAACUAUUGGAAACGAUAGCUAAUACCGCAUAACAAUGGACGACACAUGUCAUUUAUUUGAAAGGGGCAAUUGCUCCACUACAAGAUGGACCUGCGUUGUAUUAGCUAGUAGGUGAGGUAAUGGCUCACCUAGGCGACGAUACAUAGCCGACCUGAGAGGGUGAUCGGCCACACUGGGACUGAGACACGGCCCAGACUCCUACGGGAGGCAGCAGUAGGGAAUCUUCGGCAAUAGGGGCAACCCUGACCGAGCAACGCCGCGUGAGUGAAGAAGGUUUUCGGAUCGUAAAGCUCUGUUGUAAGUCAAGAACGGGUGUGAGAGUGGAAAGUUCACACUGUGACGGUAGCUUACCAGAAAGGGACGGCUAACUACGUG